AGAAUGGUCCACCAUCCAAAGGACAACCAGCCAUCUUGAAACAAUUGUGGGAAGCAUUAGAGUCAACAUGGGCCAGCAUCCCUGUGGAAUGCUUUCGACACUUUGUAGAGUCCAUGCCCCUACAAAUUGAGGCUGUUCUGAGGGCAAAAGGGGGUGCAACUCAAUAUUAAGGUGUUCCUAAUGUUUUGUACAUUCAGUGUAUUUUGUAUGUCUUCCAGGGUAAGGUUUUGUAAGACUGUAUCACCUAAGUGCCAUUCACGUUAUUGAAUAGUACAACAAUGAGGAUGUCAUUUGCAACAUAUUUAGCAUCGGAGGUGGCGUUGUUAUGUCAGCUAUUUUAUACAGUCGUUUCCUCAACAUGUGGGAUGACCCACUGGGCACAUUUGGGUAAUAUUCGGUUAAGACAAUGAUCAAUUCGAUUUCAACCUUUAUUUACGCACUCAAAAAUAAUUUUGUUGAAUUCCCAAUGUUAUCACUAUGCUUUCAACCAUCUAAAAGCACAACCAAAUUCCAACAGAAAGACAAUGCCUGAUUUUUGGUUUAGUUGUCAUCUGAAUGUAUCACUGUACUUCUAACCAUUUAAAAGCACAACAAAAUGAAAAUGGGAAUACAAUGUCAGAUAUUUGGUAUGUAUACAACAACUUAAUGUGUUAUCACUGUGCUUCAUCUAAUAGCACAACCAAAUGACCUGGAUUGCAGUUGAGAUUACAGUAAAAGUACAUAGUGCAAGUGAUCAAUGCUGUUCGAGAUUCUGCACUGAAUAUUAUAGCAAUUGUGAAGAUCUCCACAAACCUGUGACCUUUGCAUGCAUUCAUGAUUACAUAAGAAGACAUUUAUAGUUACAGUAACUUCAAAAUGUGGCCAUGGAUUUGUUACUCAUUUUGAGGUUGAAGAAAUACUGUUACAGUUUGCAAUAUAGCCUUAAAUGUAGACAAACUGGAAUUAAAGCCAGACUAAGUCAGUGGCAUAGAUGGCACUAUCCAAGCAGAAGAUACAUCUCCUUCAAAUGCUGAUAUUUGGUUGACAAGCAAAAACAAUUCAAUAUCCAGCUUGUCUACAAAUUAAUAAUUGAUACAACGCCUUCAGAAAGUAUUCACAAGUAUUUAUGUUACAAAGUGGGAUUAAAAUGGAUUUAAUUGUAAUUUCUUGUCAACAAUCUACACAAAAACUCUGUUGUAAAAGUGGAAGAAAAAUUCUAACAUUUCUAUCAAAUGUAUCUUGAUUAGAUGAGAUUCAACCCACUGAGUCAAUACAUGUUAGAAUCACCUUUGGCAGCGAUUACAACUGUGGCUCUUUCUGGGUAAAUCUCUAAUAGCUUUCCAUACCUGGAUUGUGCAACAUUUGCCCAUUAUUCUUUUCAAAAUUGUUCAAGCUCUGUCAAAUUGAUGGUUGAUCAUAGCUAGACAACCAUUUACAGGUCUGCCAUAGAUUUUCAAGCAGAUUAAAGUCAGAACUGUAACUAAGCGACUCAGAAACAUUCACUGUCUUCUUGGAAAGCAACUCCAGUGUAGAUUUGGUCUUGUGUUUUAGCUUAUUGUCCUGCUGAAAGGUUUUGCUUAGCGGUAUGUCAUUUCUUUUUUUAUCCUGAAAAACUUCCUUAGCGAUUACAAGCAUACCAUAACAUAAUGCAGCCACCACUAAGCUUGAAAAUAUGGAGAGUGGUACUCAGUAAUUUGUUGUAUUGGAUUUGCCCCUAACAUAACACUUUGUAUUAAGGACAAAAAGUUAAUUGCUUUGCCACAUAUUUUGCAAUAUUACUUUAGCGUCUUGUUGCAAACCUGAUGCAUGUAAACAGGAUGCAUGUUGUGGAAUAUUUGUAUUCUGUACAGGCUUCCUUCUUUUCACUCUGUCAAUUAGGUUAGUAUUGCAGAGUAGCUACAAUGUUGUUGAUCCAUCUUCAGUUUUCUCCUAUCACAGCCAUUAAACUCUG
RNAcentral lists this long non-coding RNA (1930 nucleotides) under Salmo salar (Atlantic salmon). RNAcentral's name for it is "lncRNA (ENSSSAG00000118547.1)". The record is from RNAcentral. Lineage: Eukaryota; Metazoa; Chordata; Actinopteri; Salmoniformes; Salmonidae.